AAAUACUAUUAGUUUGAAGUACUCCAAAUGAUCAAACACCAUGAAGUAACAGAAAUUAUGAGUGAACUAUGUAUAAAGAAGAGCCCUACAAGUCCGAAAGUCCAGAGUCGGAGAGUGUGUAUUGUCCAGGAGGAAGCAGAUCAAGAUUUUUAGCCUAAGAUCCACUGCUGGAUAGGAAAAGGAACAAUUUCAAAAUGUCAAUAAACAAUGAUCUCAAUUGCUCACCAAGACUAAAAAAAUGCAUGGUUCUGAGUGAGAAGGAUGUACUUACUGAAGAGAGAAGACCCACCCUGCAUGUGAGUAGCACCAACCAAUAGGCCUGUGGCUGGAGAGAAUAAAAAGGGAAAGCAGAGGAAGGAUGCAGCCUCCUGUCUCUCACAGUAUGAACUGUUUCACCUUUCCCCAUCUGCCAUACUGCCCUGCCUUGAAGACAGUUGACUAUGGACUUGAACUUCUGCAAAUUGUGAG
This is a long non-coding RNA of Heterocephalus glaber (naked mole-rat), 468 nucleotides long. The record is from Ensembl. NCBI's taxonomy places the organism in Eukaryota, Metazoa, Chordata, Mammalia, Rodentia, Bathyergidae.